CCUACGGGUGGCAGCAGUGAGGAAUAUUGGUCAAUGGGCGGAAGCCUGAACCAGCCAAGUAGCGUGCAGGAUGACGGCCCUACGGGUUGUAAACUGCUUUUAUACGGGAAUAACGCGCCUUACGUGUAGGGCUUUGCAUGUACCGUAUGAAUAAGGACCGGCUAAUUCCGUGCCAGCAGCCGCGGUAAUACGGAAGGUCCGGGCGUUAUCCGGAUUUAUUGGGUUUAAAGGGAGCGUAGGCGGAAUGUCAAGCGUGCUGUGAAAUGUCCGGGCUCAACCCGGGACUUGCAGUGCGAACUGGCGUGCUGGAGUGCGCGGAAAGAAGGCGGAAUUCGAGGUGUAGGGGUGA
This 349-nucleotide ribosomal RNA is filed under the name uncultured bacterium. RNAcentral describes it as "partial 16S ribosomal RNA". It matches the Rfam family "Bacterial small subunit ribosomal RNA", at positions 338 to 684 of the family's 1533-position model. The record is from RNAcentral.